Molecule: ribosomal RNA, 233 nt
Filed under: uncultured bacterium
Lineage: Bacteria
Description: partial 16S ribosomal RNA
Rfam family: Bacterial small subunit ribosomal RNA
Source: RNAcentral
CGACGGUGAGUAACACGUAUCCAACCUGCCGUCUACUCUUGGACAGCCUUCUGAAAGGAAGAUUAAUACAAGAUGGCAUCAUGAGUCCGCAUGUUCACAUGAUUAAAGGUAUUCCGGUAGACGAUGGGGAUGCGUUCCAUUAGAUAGUAGGCGGGGUAACGGCCCACCUAGUCUUCGAUGGAUAGGGGUUCUGAGAGGAAGGUCCCCCACAUUGGAACUGAGACACGGUCCAA